AGAGUUUGAUCCUGGCUCAGGACGAACGCUGGCGGCGUGCCUAACACAUGCAAGUCGAACGAGGCCACUCCUUCGGGAGUGAGUCGAGUGGCGGACGGGUGAGUAACACGUGAGCAACCUAUCCUUGUGCGGGGGACAACCCGGGGAAACCCGGGCUAAUACCGCAUGGGCGGAGACCUCGAGUGGGGACUCCGGGAAAGAUGGCCUCUUUACAAUGCUGUCGUGCAGGGAGGGGCUCGCGGGCUAUCAGCUAGUUGGUGAGGUAAUGGCUCACCAAGGCAGCGACGGCUACGGGGUCUGAGAGGACGACCCCGCACAUUGGAACUGAGACACGGUCCAGACUCCUACGGGAGGCAGCAGUGGGGAAUAUUGGGCAAUGGGCGCAAGCCUGACCCAGCGACGCCGCGUGCGGGAUGACGCUUCUCGGAGUGUAAACCGCUGUCAGAGGGGACGAACGGCCCGGGUGGGAAUACUGCCCGGGAUUGACGGUACCCUCAAAGGAAGCGCCGGCUAACUCCGUGCCAGCAGCCGCGGUAAUACGGAGGGCGCAAGCGUUGUUCGGAAUCACUGGGCGUAAAGCGCGCGCAGGCGGGUGUGCAAGUCGGAAGUGAAAUCCCGGGGCUCAACUCCGGGGCUGCUCCCGAUACUGCAUGUCUAGAGACCAGUAGGGGUUGGUGGAAUUCCCGGUGUAGCGGUGGAAUGCGUAGAUAUCGGGAAGAACACCUGUGGCGAAAGCGGCCAACUGGGCUGGAUCUGACGCUGAGGCGCGAAAGCGUGGGGAGCAAACAGGAUUAGAUACCCUGGUAGUCCACGCCGUAAACGAUGGGCA
RNAcentral lists this ribosomal RNA (829 nucleotides) under uncultured soil bacterium. RNAcentral describes it as "bacterial SSU rRNA". It matches the Rfam family "Bacterial small subunit ribosomal RNA", at positions 8 to 815 of the family's 1533-position model. The record is from RNAcentral.